Molecule: small nucleolar RNA, 67 nt
Organism: Passer montanus (Eurasian tree sparrow)
Lineage: Eukaryota; Metazoa; Chordata; Aves; Passeriformes; Passeridae
Product: small nucleolar RNA SNORD75
Exons: 1
Source: RefSeq, a predicted model, not a curated record
AGCCUGUGAUGGUUUCAGUCUAAGAGUAGUGGACAGAAGUGAUUUCUGAAAACUCCAUGCUGAGGCU